Molecule: long non-coding RNA, 1518 nt
Filed under: Marmota monax (woodchuck)
Lineage: Eukaryota; Metazoa; Chordata; Mammalia; Rodentia; Sciuridae
Source: RNAcentral
GAAAUAUUGUCUAAUAAAUGAAAUAACUGCAUGUUGGGCAAGGCAGUACACAGAAAAAUGCAUUUAAAAAUCCCAACCUGUUUUUCAGGAGAAUGGAAAGUAGUGUACACUUUCAACGUGACAACAAAUUCCUACUCCAAUAUUGAUCAGAGUUUCCUCAUCAGCCACGUGCCACCUCAGACCUCAUCUGUAGAAACUGGGACAGUUUGCACUGUGUCUCCUCUAGGCAAUCCUGCUGAGAUACCAUGGCCAGACAGAGCCACAUGACUCUGGGUCUUGCAGAGGAGUCAGAACUCUGGUAAAGAGGUGCUUGCUGAAGUACUGGGUGAGGCUGGAAGGGAAGGAGGGUGGUAGGUUAUCUGACUCAUCUCUUUGUCUUCUGUUUCUCCAGCAAAUUGCAAAUGCCUUGAAGUAGGAACAAUUUCUUAUUCAUCUUUGUAGUUUUAGUGCUUAUCUGUAUCUGGAAAAUAGUAGACAGUUGUCUUAAUGUAAGAUCUUUCAGAUAGAAGCUUUGAGACAAAGACUUGAGAAAAUAGGUUUGAAGGAACAGGAAACAUGGGUACAAAAGUGGAAAAGUGAAAAGAGCAGGGAAGCAGCACAAAAGAAGGGUAUAUUAUCAGGAAAAUUUGGCCAUGUGUGGGCUGGGUUGUCAGAGAUUAAUCCUACACGAAAACUCAUAAUCACAGGAACCUCAGAGCUGUCCUAUCUGCGGUCCAAGGGAAAUGAAAUAUUUAUGUUCCAGCUUUUGAGAUUGGUGAAGGUUGCUUCUUAGAAAUGAUAAGCCCCAGAAUUCACACCUGCUCUGCUAGGAAAAAAACCAUUUCUGGGUUUACAAGAAAGUCCUCAGAUAAAGAGAGGCAGGCAUUUGCAGGUGGCAGUAGAGCCAACACACACUGAUGGGGAUAAGGCCCCAGGAACUCAAUGAUAGCAUCUGCUAUGGUGGCUAAAGAAAUAUUCUUGAAACUCAAUCAACAGCUGAAAAGGAACGUCUGUCUUCAAAAUAUGAAAUUAAUUGUGUAAACAUAUUCAGAAAGUUCCAUCAGGCCCUUGUUCAAGUGACUGCUAACCAAAAUAACUGACAACCAAUUAUUGCAGACUCAAUUUUCUGUCUCCUGGGAGAUGAGACUUCUGGAUAAACUCCAUAUUUAUGAUGACAUAAAAAAAACAAAACAAAACAAAACAAAAAACAAGAGAGAGAAGUUCACUACAAAGAGACUACCACUAAACACAGGCAGGGUUUAGGGGAAGGAUGGACUAUGAGCAACGGAAAGGGAGGGACUAGAAGAUGAAAGGACAAAGAAAAUAGGCACUCUGCCUAUUAAAGACAGGGAUCCCCUUUGCACUAGACAAGGGCCAAGGGGGCAUGUUGGCCAGGAUGCAGGGGAUGGUGGGUGUUUUGGACAGCCACCCUUGAGGGUCAAGGGAUUCUAAAAAGCUUUAAAUGGAAGUAAUUUCUGCAAUUUUGUUCUAGUUUUUUUUUACUGGGGGAGUUGGAUGAUUGCAGCAGGUGUAAGUAAG